Molecule: ribosomal RNA, 468 nt
Filed under: uncultured bacterium
Lineage: Bacteria
Description: partial 16S ribosomal RNA
Rfam family: Bacterial small subunit ribosomal RNA
Source: RNAcentral
GACGAACGCUGGCGGCGUGCUUAACACAUGCAAGUCGAACGGAAAGGCCCUGCUUUUGUGGGGUGCUCGAGUGGCGAACGGGUGAGUAACACGUGAGUAACCUGCCCUUGACUUUGGGAUAACUUCAGGAAACUGGGGCUAAUACCGGAUAGGAGCUCCUGCUGCAUGGUGGGGGUUGGAAAGUUUCGGCGGUUGGGGAUGGACUCGCGGCUUAUCAGCUUGUUGGUGGGGUAGUGGCUUACCAAGGCUUUGACGGGUAGCCGGCCUGAGAGGGUGACCGGCAACAUUGGGACUGAGAUACGGCCCAGACUCCUACGGGAGGCAGCAGUGGGGAAUAUUGCACAAUGGGCGGAAGCCUGAUGCAGCAACGCCGCGUGCGGGAUGACGGCCUUCGGGUUGUAAACCGCUUUCGCCUGUGACGAAGCGGGAGUGACGGUAAUGGGUAAAGAAGCACCGGCUAACUACGUG